AGGAUGAACGCUGGCGGCGUGCCUAACACAUGCAAGUCGAACGUCCUGUCUCGCAAGAGGCAGGGAGUGGCGGACGGGUGAGUACCACGUGGGUUAUCUACCGUGAGGUGAGGAAUACCGGCGAGAAAUCGCCGACAAGACCGCAUAGCCUCGGUGCAAGCCGAGGAAAGCUUUCUCGAGAGAGGGAGCGCCACACGAGGAGCCUGCGCCCGAUUAGCUAGCUGGUGGAGUAACGGUUCACCAGGGCGACGAUCGGUAGCUGGUCUGAGAGGACGAUCAGCCACACUGGGAUUGAGAACGGCCCAGACUCCUACGGGGGGCAGCAGUGAGGAAUUUUCGUCAAUGGGGGCAACCCUGAACGAGCAACGCCGCGUGCAGGAAGAAGGUUUUCGGAUCGUAAACUGCUUUUCUCGGGAAGAGAACGGACGGUACCCGAGGAAUCAGCCCCGGCUAACUACGCGCCAGCAGCCGCGGUAA
This 477-nucleotide ribosomal RNA is filed under the name uncultured bacterium. RNAcentral describes it as "SSU rRNA". It matches the Rfam family "Bacterial small subunit ribosomal RNA", at positions 26 to 523 of the family's 1533-position model. The record is from RNAcentral.